GUGGUGUUCAAACAUCACUUUCUGGGUCAAUCGAUGUCUUAACUACAUUUUAAAAAAAAAAUAUGCGCGUCCCCAAUUGUUUCCCACCGGUUACCAAAUAAUUCCCCCGCCUUUCGAAAUUUUUCCCAACCUUCAAAUCUUUUCGGCAGAAAUAAAAAACAACAAAAACAAAAAUCCUAACAAACAAAUAUAAACACACCCACAGAACUCUCUCCCUUCGACUUUCUCAAACUCAAACUCACGUCCAUCUCUCUCAACUCUCUCAAACAGUAUGAACCCUAAUUCCUCUCUACACUCCACAACUCGGUCUCUCCGCAGCUUUCAAUCUCUACAAGCUCAGCCUCAUCUCUCCAAACCUCAGUCUCUCUUCAACGAAGCUUAUCAAAAUCAAAACUACCCUCUCGCUCCCAAGGUUAAAGCUGCUAUCUCGGUGUACAAAGGUCGAAAGCUCAGUUAUAUAUAUUAUGGGUUGAGGCUGAUGACACUAGCGAUCAUAUCGUUCCAUUUCCUCGUGGAUGUGAAGAACUACCUGCAGAUGUGCCGAAGAUCUUACUAAGAAGCCAAAAAAUAAAGAGAUUGCCAAUGGGAAAAUGUCAAAGCAGAAGAAGCAUGUUUUAUUCGAGUGAGUUAGACGGGGUUAAACAAGAGAUAUCUUUCGAAUGUUAUAAUAAUAAAUUUCUUUCAGCUGCCGGAGACAGUGUAGACUCAUGGAACAAAUCCUUGGCCAAGGCUUCCAAGAAUUCGAGGGGUGAAGCUGUUUACUUGUACUCUAUCUAUUAGUUCAGUCAAAUCAUAAACUUCAGCACGGCGGUGGAGAAGCAUCUGAAGCUGAUUUUUUUGAGGUUUACAACGUGGUUCUGUAUCUUGGCAUAGUUGGCAUAAUUGUGUAUGUUUUGAUUUCAUGUUGUCGGAUAUUUUGGCUAGUGUACAAUUAGAAUUAGAAAAGAUGGAUGAAUAUUUCUUGUAAUUGAUGUUUGGAUUAGAUGAAAAUGUUGUACUUUUUGAUGUUUGGAUAUUGGUUGGCUGGAUAUGUAUAUAAUUGAUAUUAUGCAGUAA
This is a long non-coding RNA of Daucus carota subsp. sativus, 1056 nucleotides long. RefSeq lists it as uncharacterized. The transcript has 3 exons. The record is from RefSeq and is a predicted model, not a curated record. Lineage: Eukaryota; Viridiplantae; Streptophyta; Magnoliopsida; Apiales; Apiaceae.